This 1373-nucleotide ribosomal RNA is filed under the name uncultured bacterium. RNAcentral's name for it is "bacterial SSU rRNA". It matches the Rfam family "Bacterial small subunit ribosomal RNA", at positions 28 to 1381 of the family's 1533-position model. The record is from RNAcentral.
GAUGAACGCUGGCGGCGUGCCUAAUACAUGCAAGUCGAGCGAACAGAUAAGGAGCUUGCUCCUUUGAAGUUAGCGGCGGACGGGUGAGUAACACGUGGGUAACCUACCUAUAAGACUGGGAUAACUUCGGGAAACCGGAGCUAAUACCGGAUAACAUUUAGAACCGCAUGGUUCUAAAGUGAAAGAUGGUUUUGCUAUCACUUAUAGAUGGACCCGCGCCGUAUUAGCUAGUUGGUAAGGUAACGGCUUACCAAGGCGACGAUACGUAGCCGACCUGAGAGGGUGAUCGGCCACACUGGAACUGAGACACGGUCCAGACUCCUACGGGAGGCAGCAGUAGGGAAUCUUCCGCAAUGGGCGAAAGCCUGACGGAGCAACGCCGCGUGAGUGAUGAAGGGUUUCGGCUCGUAAAACUCUGUUAUUAGGGAAGAACAAAUGUGUAAGUAACUGUGCACAUCUUGACGGUACCUAAUCAGAAAGCCACGGCUAACUACGUGCCACCAGCCGCGGUAAUACGUAGGUGGCAAGCGUUAUCCGGAAUUAUUUGGGCGUAAAGCGCGCGUAGGCGGUUUCUUAAGUCUGAUGUGAAAGCCCACGGCUCAAUCGUGGAGGGUCAUUGGAAACUGGGAAACUUGAGUGCAGAAGAGGAAAGUGGAAUUCCAUGUGUAGCGGUGAAAUGCGCAGAGAUAUGGAGGAACACCAGUGGCGAAGGCGACUUUCUGGUCUGUAACUGACGCUGAUGUGCGAAAGCGUGGGGAUCAAACAGGAUUAGAUACCCUGGUAGUCCACGCCGUAAACGAUGAGUGCUAAGUGUUAGGGGGUUUCCGCCCCUUAGUGCUGCAGCUAACGCAUUAAGCACUCCGCCUGGGGAGUACGACCGCAAGGUUGAAACUCAAAGGAAUUGACGGGGACCCGCACAAGCGGUGGAGCAUGUGGUUUAAUUCGAAGCAACGCGAAGAACCUUACCAAAUCUUGACAUCCUUUGAAAACUCUAGAGAUAGAGCCUUCCCCUUCGGGGGACAAAGUGACAGGUGGUGCAUGGUUGUCGUCAGCUCGUGUCGUGAGAUGUUGGGUUAAGUCCCGCAACGAGCGCAACCCUUAAGCUUAGUUGCCAUCAUUAAGUUGGGCACUCUAGGUUGACUGCCGGUGACAAACCGGAGGAAGGUGGGGAUGACGUCAAAUCAUCAUGCCCCUUAUGAUUUGGGCUACACACGUGCUACAAUGGACAAUACAAAGGGCAGCUAAACCGCGAGGUCAUGCAAAUCCCAUAAAGUUGUUCUCAGUUCGGAUUGUAGUCUGCAACUCGACUACAUGAAGCUGGAAUCGCUAGUAAUCGUAGAUCAGCAUGCUACGGUGAAUACGUUCCCGGGUCU